GUUUGCCCCGGUCACGAUAAUAGUUUUGCCUCGCAGCAUAUCGACACCUUCAUCAAAAUUUUUAGAAUGGGGAAUAGCUUGACUGUUGAUCCUUCUAGGGCCAUCAACAACGUCCAGUUCAUGAGCAGGGCACAUGAGCGGCGAUUGUACCAAGUUCCUGGGCACCCUCGAUGUGAAACAUCUGAUCAUCAAAGAAGAUGUGAGGCUUGAUCUUCUGUAAGAGAGGCCCCUUAGGAGCCCCAGCCAAAAAGAGGGCCUCAUCUACCUCCAACCCCCAGCUCCGUAGGGUCUUCAGAACACGGGCCCCAGCGCUGGCAGCACUUCGAGCUGUAACGAGGGUUGAAGAGUGCUGGUCUGGCAUCGGUGUUUUUCAGUUUGUGUUCUGACAAACAUAAUCAUAUAGACAACUGGGAGCUGAUUCUAGAUCCAGAGGGGACGCUUGACAGAUAUGAGCCCAGUACUGAUGAGGAUCAACAGUGACCCUGUUAGCACUCCAUCCUCUGUUGUCUUUUAUAUCCACUGGAGAUUGUAGGCCUAGUGUUGAAUGGUUUAUAGAACUGGUGAAAUGCAGCUGUACAAAAUCAACCUUUAGAAGGCCUGAAUCUAGUAAGCUAGUUUUGGAGUAAAAGCUAGUUCUUAACAUUGUGAAAUUAUGUUGUUACAUGUGGAAUUUUGGAAUAUCUGCACCUAAAAAUAAUAAAUACGGACUGGGGUUUUGACUUUC
Molecule: long non-coding RNA, 724 nt
Organism: Cyprinus carpio (common carp)
Lineage: Eukaryota; Metazoa; Chordata; Actinopteri; Cypriniformes; Cyprinidae
Exons: 3
Source: RefSeq, a predicted model, not a curated record